UGGGGAAUCUUGCGCAAUGGGCGAAAGCCUGACGCAGCCAUGCCGCGUGAGUGAUGAAGGCCUUAGGGUUGUAAAACUCUUUCACCGGGGACGAUAAUGACGGUACCCGGAGAAGAAGCCCCGGCUAACUUCGUGCCAGCAGCCGCGGUAAUACGAAGGGGGCUAGCGUUGCUCGGAAUUACUGGGCGUAAAGGGCGCGUAGGCGGAUCAGCAAGUUGGGGGUGAAAGCCCGGGGCUCAACCUCGGAAUUGCCUUCAAAACUGCUGAUCUAGAGUACGGGAGAGGUGUGUGGAACCUCCGAGUGUAGAGGUGAAAUCCGUAGAUAUUCGGAAGAACACCAGUGGCGAAGGCGACACACUGGCCCGUUACUGACGCUGAGGCGCGAAAGCGUGGGGAGCAAACAGGUUAGAUACCCUGGUAGUCCACGCUGUGAACGAUGAUUGCUAGUUGUCGGCA
Molecule: ribosomal RNA, 456 nt
Filed under: uncultured bacterium
Lineage: Bacteria
Description: partial 16S ribosomal RNA
Rfam family: Bacterial small subunit ribosomal RNA
Source: RNAcentral